Molecule: ribosomal RNA, 497 nt
Filed under: uncultured bacterium
Lineage: Bacteria
Description: partial 16S ribosomal RNA
Rfam family: Bacterial small subunit ribosomal RNA
Source: RNAcentral
GAUGAACGCUGGCGGCGUGCCUAAUACAUGCAAGUCGAGCGAACAGACGAGGGUCUUGCUCCUAUGAAAUUAGCGCGGGGCAGGGGAGUAUAACGUGGAAAAACUAUGUAUCAGACUGGGGUAACAUCAGGGAAAAGGAUCUAUAAUCGGAUAAUAUAGUGAACCUCAUAGUUGAAAAAUUUAAGAGGUUUUUGCUGUAACUUAUUGAUGGAUCCGCGCGGCAUUAGCUAGUUGUUACGGGAACGGCUUACCAAGGCAACGAUGCGUAGCCGACCUGAGAGGGUGAUCGGCCACACUGGAACUGAGACACGGUCCAGACUCCUACGGGAGGCAGCAGUAGGGAAUCUUCCGCAAUGGGCGAAAGCCUGACGGAGCAACGCCGCGUGAGUGAUGAAGGUCUUCGGAUCGUAAAACUCUGUUAUUAGGGAAGAACAAAUGUGUAAGUAACUAUGCACGUAUUGACGGUACCUAACCAGAAAGCCACGGCUAACUACGUG